This 58-nucleotide transfer RNA is filed under the name Zea mays. It matches the Rfam family "tRNA", at positions 8 to 63 of the family's 71-position model. Rfam says of the family: Transfer RNA (tRNA) molecules are approximately 80 nucleotides in length. Their secondary structure includes four short double-helical elements and three loops (D, anti-codon, and T loops). Further hydrogen bonds mediate the characteristic L-shaped molecular structure. tRNAs have two regions of fundamental functional importance: the anti-codon, which is responsible for specific mRNA codon recognition, and the 3' end, to which the tRNAs corresponding amino acid is attached (by aminoacyl-tRNA synthetases). tRNAs cope with the degeneracy of the genetic code in two manners: having more than one tRNA (with a specific anti-codon) for a particular amino acid; and 'wobble' base-pairing, i.e. permitting non-standard base-pairing at the 3rd anti-codon position. The record is from Rfam by way of RNAcentral. Lineage: Eukaryota; Viridiplantae; Streptophyta; Magnoliopsida; Poales; Poaceae.
UAGCCCUUUUGGUGGAGCACAAGGCUUCUAACCUUGUAGUCGUGGGUUCAAACCCCCC